UUUUUUAAUUCGUCGCAAAGAACUUGAUUUCACGGCAGGUGCUCCUGGUGCUAGCCAGAAUGCCACCUCUGCCCUAGGACCCACACCGGAAACCCAUCACCAUCACCCAAGCCUCAUGUGCCUGCCAUCAUCCUCCUCACAAAAAGAAAAGGAAUCCUGCACGGCACAUUCUUCGUCAAACCGCUUACUUCCAAACUGGAUUCUCCUGCUGACACACGGGACUGGUGCGGUUUAGGACCCAUGUCUGGGCUCCAGCUGCCAAAAGAAGAUGGGAGCAGGUUUCCCGGCUUCUGUAUGUGAAGGUUUUGGCAACAAAGAAUGGGAUUUCAAGCUGACUGCUAACAGCCUGAGCAUGAGACACACUUACCGAACCCUUUGAGUUCACUCUUCCUCUCCUCAUUACUGAGAGCCAGCUAAAGAUCUCCCCAAUAUAAAGAAGCAAAUUGAAGAUCAUGUCACUGGAUGGAUGGGCCAAAGCCUUCAUAUCACAAACUUUACAACCCACUUCUUUGAGGAAUUAAAAACAACUAUCCUACAAAUGAAGACAACUUGUACAACUUGUCUCAUGAGUUGAGUCUUUAUAAAAACAGGAAGAAAAAAAAAACCCACCUAUCCUUUAUACAAGUCCCAAAACCUCCUCUACCCAUCUCAAAAGGCUGCUAAGCAUUGUAUGCCAGAUAAAUUUGCACUGGCUCCUGAACAUUUGAAACAUUAUGCUUUGAGACUCGUUUUAAUCCUCUGGGAAAUGUUGAUAUUUUUGUCUUAGCAGGCCAUAAAUACGGUUUGGUUCCAGUCACAUAUUCAAAACAGUCAUUUGUGGGUUAUUAUUUCAAUGUCAUUUCUGUCUUCAAAGUCUUUGAAGUGUUUUUAGGAUCUGCCCCGUGGAUGCACCACCCAUGGCCAUUCUGAGACGUGAGCGACGGUCUGUUGCUUACUACAAUUCUCAACUUCUUUGGUGUAUUGUUUAAGGUUAGAUCAUGCAUGUGUAGUUCUGGGCUCAGCACAGGAGUUCAUAGACAACCUUCUUGGGUCACUUUUCUGACCUCCAUGAUCUUUCUGGCUCUUUGUUCCCAUAGACUCUCUUUUUUAGGUCUUUGGCCAAAAAGAUGGGGCUUUUUUUUUCUGCUCUGCUGUGUACUUACCUCAACUGUACUCGUGUUUGGAACCAAGGGGAAAAAGGACAGAGAAACAGGAAAACAGGGCUUCAUUCCCACCCUUUUGGACCAGAGCCCUUCCAAAUGGAGAGGAAGCUUCCUCUUCAGAAUUUUAGAUCAUUGCAUGUCCCUGCUGCCCCCUGUCACUGCCAGCGGACCCCUUUCCUACUCCUCAAAUCUAACUAGAGGGCUUCUCCCCAACUCCUUCUGUCCAUACAGAAGUCUACUUAUGGGUUCUCGAUACCUUAAAUCCAGCCCAGCAUACACAAGACGGGGAAAAUGAUAAAUUCACAGCUAUUUCACUGGUACUUCGAUUCUAGUCUCCAAUCCAUCUGUUCCUGUUAACUUUUAAGAGCUCUCCACUAAGAGAGUCUGAUGGGAGUCUGCUUCUCCCAUCUGACUGAGAACUGGGCCUCCCCUCAUUAGCGCUUUAAAAGUUCUAAGCUCUCCUGCAAGAGACCACUUUAACUUUUUUUCACCCAUGUUUGCUCAAACAUAUAAAUCCUCGGAGCCCAGUUUUCACCUAAUGUUUAUGAACAGCUUGCACAAUCAUUAUUCUUCAGGAACACAUUUUCAAAAGCACCGUCCUAAAUCAAACCAAUAAUUUUUUUAAAAUCCUUCAACUAUCAGUGGUCUUCUUUUAUUUAACUGCUGAGAAAAUAAAGACAUGAUCACGUGAUAUCAACAUACUCUGCCAGGUGUGUGUUUAGGAAAAUAACACCUUCAAAGAGAGGUUAUAUGUCAGCAGCCAAACAGUGCAUGUAGACUUGUUUAUGAUACACUUAAUAUUAUCCUAAUAUUCUAAACUCAAAGCAGAUUUAGAAUUAUUGGUCACUUAAUUUAGCUCCCCAUGUUGAUUCUAUAGACCUAAUGCACAACCUCCAUCUGACCCAUGUACUAGAUAGUGUUAUGUGACCCAUGUACUAGAUAGUGUUAUGUGACCCAUGUAAUAUACAGUGUUAUGUGAAUCUUAUUUAUGCAGAAACUGCUAUUGUCUAAAUGUUUGUGUCUCCCUAAAAUUCAUAUGUUGAUAUUCUAACCCCCGCUGUGAUGGUAUUAGGAAGUGAAACCUUGAGAGGUCAUUAGGUAAUGAAAGUGAAUCCCUCAUGAAUGGGAUUAGUCCCCUUAUAACAGAGGCCCCAGGGAGAUCACUCGUGCCUUCUUACCACCUGAAGUGACAGCAAGAAGAUAGUAAGUCACUGACACCAAGUCCUGUGGACUUCCCAUCCUCCAGACUGUGAGAAAUAAAUUUCUGUUGUUUGUAAGCCCCUCA
Felis catus (domestic cat) is the source of this 2427-nucleotide long non-coding RNA. RefSeq lists it as uncharacterized. NCBI's taxonomy places the organism in Eukaryota, Metazoa, Chordata, Mammalia, Carnivora, Felidae. The transcript has 3 exons. The record is from RefSeq and is a predicted model, not a curated record.